GGGUACUAGCAGGGGAGCGGAUGGAGAGUGAGUGUGUAGGGGAUGAGUGUGCACCGGAGGCUGCGUGGGGCGUGUGCGGGGGCGUGUGCAGGGGGCGGGGGUGUGUGUUUGCGCGCGCGUGGCCCUGCUGAGAUUCUGUCUACACGCUGAUCUUAUUCGAUCGGGCCGGGGGCGGCCGCCCGGCCCGAGAUGAGAAGACGCCUCCCGCGAAGCCCGCGGGCGCUGUGCGGAGAGCAGAGCUUGUUGGCCGCAGCCGGCCCGCCCGGCGCUCAGAGGUGAUGAGUCGAUCAGAUAGACGAGGCCGCGGGGCGGGUCCACGCUGGCCCGAGCCCCCGGCCCAUGAGUAUCGUGGCGAUUCUGAUCUGA
Non-coding RNA from Chelydra serpentina (North American snapping turtle), 366 nucleotides. Lineage: Eukaryota; Metazoa; Chordata; Testudines; Chelydridae. The record is from Ensembl.